This 401-nucleotide long non-coding RNA is filed under the name Trifolium pratense (red clover). RNAcentral's name for it is "long non-coding RNA (TPRA_LNC001534)". The record is from RNAcentral. Lineage: Eukaryota; Viridiplantae; Streptophyta; Magnoliopsida; Fabales; Fabaceae.
GAAACCCUUUCCUCAUAUUCCUAUCUACAAACCUCCUUUUCCUCAUAUUCCUAUCUUCAAAAAACCUUUCCCUCCACAUGAGCCUAUCUAUGAAAAACCUCUUCCUCCGCCUACACCGGUCUAUGAAAAACCAGUUCCUCCGCCUACACCUGUCUAUGAAAAACCUCUUCCUCCGCCUACACCGGUCUAUGAGAAACCUCUUCCCCCGCCUACACCUGUCUAUGAGCCUCCACCAACUCCUGUAUAUCAUAAACCUCUUCCCCCACCUACGCCUGUCUAUGAGAAACCUCUUCCUCCACCUACACCUGUAUAUCAUAAACCACAUCCACCACCGGCUCCGGUCAAAGGUUGUCCACCAAAGGUUGAACACCCAAUUCUACCACCUGCUCCAGUAUACAAAC